RNAcentral lists this ribosomal RNA (373 nucleotides) under uncultured bacterium. RNAcentral describes it as "bacterial SSU rRNA". It matches the Rfam family "Bacterial small subunit ribosomal RNA", at positions 30 to 405 of the family's 1533-position model. The record is from RNAcentral.
AUUGAACGCUGGCGGCAUGCCUUACACAUGCAAGUCGAACGGCAGCGCGGGGCAACCUGGCGGCGAGUGGCGAACGGGUGAGUAAUAUAUCGGAACGUACCCUGGAGUGGGGGAUAACGUAGCGAAAGUUACGCUAAUACCGCAUACGAUCUAAGGAUGAAAGUGGGGGAUCGCAAGACCUCAUGCUCCUGGAGCGGCCGAUAUCUGAUUAGCUAGUUGGUGAGGUAAAGGCUCACCAAGGCGACGAUCAGUAGCUGGUCUGAGAGGACGAUCAGCCACACUGGAACUGAGACACGGUCCAGACUCCUACGGGAGGCAGCAGUGGGGAAUUUUGGACAAUGGGCGCAAGCCUGAUCCAGCAAUGCCGCGUGGG